UCCUAGUUAACCUAGGCAGUCUUGCCAGAGUCCCCGCCAUUACGCGUUGGCAACUGACAAUAAGGGUUGCGCUCGUUGCGGGACUUAACCCAACACCUCACGGCACGAGCUGACGACAGCCAUGCAGCACCUAUAUAGAGACCCUUUCGGGAAUCGACAUCUCUGUCGACGUCCUCUACAUUUCGAGCCUGGGUAAGGUUCUUCGCGUUGCAUCGAAUUAAACCACAUGCUCCACUGCUUGUGCGGGCCCCCGUCAAUUCUUUUGAGUUUCACCCUUGCGAGCGUACUCCUCAGGCGGCAUACUUAACGCGUUAGCUCCGAAACAGAUAGGGUUGAGCCCACCUACUUCUAGUAUGCAUCGUUUAAGGCUAGGACUAC
RNAcentral lists this unclassified non-coding RNA (378 nucleotides) under uncultured Chlamydiales bacterium. Its description in RNAcentral is "contains 16S-23S intergenic spacer region". Lineage: Bacteria; Pseudomonadati; Chlamydiota; Chlamydiia; Chlamydiales. The record is from RNAcentral.